UGCCAUAGAAAGAGAAAUCUACAUUUCAGUUUUUAUAAAGCAGAGUGGAGUAAAGCAGCAAGCUGAGCUACUGGAGCACUGGGGGCUCUCACACACCUGGGAGACCUCUUCCUCCACAGGUGAAGCUGGUUUCAUUCGACUAAAGAGAGGGAGUCUGCUCACAAAGGCGUUUGGAACUCCAGAAGAUGGCUCUUUCCCACUGUUAAGCGAUGGAGAACUUGAUCUUCGGACAGACCAUCUCUGGAAAAGACUUUUAAUCUCUUCCAAAGACUUAAUGGGCAACCCCCCCAGUGAAGGGUGUCUGAUCUAUGAAAGACAAUUUAGAAAGAUUCUACAAGUUUGUUACUUUGAAUUUUCUUUUAAAUGGACCAGUAAGCAAAGUAGCUUCAUCAAGAAGAGUUAUCAAUAUCAUAAUGUGGAUUUGAAUUUCUAUUUUCAUAGAACUUUUUCUUAUUUGUACCCUGGUUUCUCUUAAAUCUUAACUUUUAUCAGUGACUAAACUGAGAAAUUCACAUUAAUCAUGGAAGGCCAAUUAAUUGGAUGGAAAAAUUUUCUCAUUCAGAAAUGCUCAAUAAAUGAAAAAGUUUUCCCCUAAAAAUAA
This is a long non-coding RNA of Homo sapiens (human), 601 nucleotides long. The record is from Ensembl. Lineage: Eukaryota; Metazoa; Chordata; Mammalia; Primates; Hominidae.